CUUUUCUAUGGAAGCUUGCUUCCACUGAGAAGAUAGUGGCGGACGGGUGAGUAACACGUGGGUAACCUGCCCAUAAGAGGGGGAUAACAUCCGGAAACGGGUGCUAAUACCGCAUAGUUUUCUUGAUCGCAUGAUCGAGAAAGGAAAGACGGCCUUUGUGCUGUCGCUUAUGGAUGGACCCGCGGCGUAUUAGUUAGUUGGUGAGGUAACGGCUCACCAAGACGAUGAUACGUAGCCGACCUGAGAGGGUGAUCGGCCACAUUGGGACUGAGACACGGCCCAAACUCCUACGGGAGGCAGCAGUAGGGAAUCUUCCGCAAUGGACGAAAGUCUGACGGAGCAACGCCGCGUGAGUGAAGAAGGUUUUCGGAUCGUAAAACUCUGUUGUCAGAGAAGAACAAGUCGGAGAGUAACUGCUCCGGCCUUGACGGUAUCUGACCAGAAAGCCACGGCUAACUACGUGCCAGCAGCCGCGGUAAUACGUAGGUGGCAAGCGUUGUCCGGAUUUAUUGGGCGUAAAGCGAGCGCAGGCGGUUCCUUAAGUCUGAUGUGAAAGCCCACGGCUCAACCGUGGAAGGUCAUUGGAAACUGGGGGACUUGAGUGCAGAAGAGGAGAGUGGAAUUCCAUGUGUAGCGGUGAAAUGCGUAGAUAUAU
This 655-nucleotide ribosomal RNA is filed under the name uncultured Carnobacteriaceae bacterium. Its description in RNAcentral is "bacterial SSU rRNA". It matches the Rfam family "Bacterial small subunit ribosomal RNA", at positions 67 to 699 of the family's 1533-position model. Lineage: Bacteria; Bacillati; Bacillota; Bacilli; Lactobacillales; Carnobacteriaceae. The record is from RNAcentral.